GAUGAACGCUGGCGGCGUGCCUAAUACAUGCAAGUCGAGCGAACAGACGAGGAGCUUGCUCCUCUGACGUUAGCGGCGGACGGGUGAGUAACACGUGGAUAACCUACCUAUAAGACUGGGAUAACUUCGGGAAACCGGAGCUAAUACCGGAUAAUAUAUUGAACCGCAUGGUUCAAUAGUGAAAGACGGUUUUGCUGUCACUUAUAGAUGGAUCCGCGCCGCAUUAGCUAGUUGGUAAGGUAACGGCUUACCAAGGCAACGAUGCGUAGCCGACCUGAGAGGGUGAUCGGCCACCCUGGAACUGGGACACGGUCCUGACUCCUGCGGGAGGCAGCAGUAGGGAAUCUUCCGCAAUGGGCGAAAGCCUGACGGAGCAGCGCCGCGUGAGUGAUGAAGGUCUUCGGAUCGUAAAACUCUGUUAUUAGGGAAGAACAAAUGUGUAAGUAACUAUGCACGUCUUGACGGUACCUAAUAAGAAAGCCACGGCUAACUACGUG
This 497-nucleotide ribosomal RNA is filed under the name uncultured bacterium. RNAcentral's name for it is "partial 16S ribosomal RNA". It matches the Rfam family "Bacterial small subunit ribosomal RNA", at positions 28 to 507 of the family's 1533-position model. The record is from RNAcentral.